This 142-nucleotide ribosomal RNA is filed under the name uncultured eukaryote. Its description in RNAcentral is "partial 18S ribosomal RNA". It matches the Rfam family "Eukaryotic small subunit ribosomal RNA", at positions 1299 to 1458 of the family's 1831-position model. The record is from RNAcentral.
UGGUGGAGUGAUUUGUCUGGUUAAUUCCGUUAACGAACGAGACCGCCGCCUGCUAAAUAGUUCUACUAAUGGUUUUUCAUUGGUAAGAGCUUCUUAGAGGGACGUUCAUUCUACGAGAUGAAGGAAGAUGGCGGCAAUAACA